This 260-nucleotide small nuclear RNA is filed under the name Mus pahari (shrew mouse). Its description in RNAcentral is "sRNA (MGP_PahariEiJ_G0008316.1)". It matches the Rfam family "7SK RNA", at positions 1 to 283 of the family's 331-position model. Rfam says of the family: 7SK was discovered as an abundant small nuclear RNA in the mid-70s but a possible function has only recently been suggested. Two independent studies have found that 7SK RNA binds the CDK9/cyclin T complex (known as elongation factor P-TEFb). Lineage: Eukaryota; Metazoa; Chordata; Mammalia; Rodentia; Muridae. The record is from RNAcentral.
GGAUGUGAGCUCAGUGGCUGUGAUAUCUUCAGCCAGUUGAUCACUGUGGUUGAUUUGUCUGAUCCGGCUGUCCAUAUCCUCCCUCACCUCUCCAUGCACAUCCUACUCCACGUGGCUUGUCAGCUAAAGAGGACAAGCUCCCCUGAUAGGGGAGGGUGAGUCUUUGGUCAGGGUCAAGGAUGUGCAAGUAGCUGCAUGCUCCUGAUGGGGCCUCCAAAUCCGCUGUCAAGGAGACCUUCUGAAGCCCAGCCCCUUAGCCC